RNAcentral lists this transfer RNA (72 nucleotides) under Bacillus phage PBC2. RNAcentral describes it as "tRNA-Pro". Lineage: Duplodnaviria; Heunggongvirae; Uroviricota; Caudoviricetes. The record is from RNAcentral.
UGCGGAUAGCAAGACUCGAACUUGCAACAUCUCCCUUCCAAAAGGAGUAGGCUACCAUUGCCCUAUAUCCAC